RNAcentral lists this ribosomal RNA (314 nucleotides) under uncultured eukaryote. RNAcentral describes it as "partial 18S ribosomal RNA". It matches the Rfam family "Eukaryotic small subunit ribosomal RNA", at positions 1470 to 1796 of the family's 1831-position model. The record is from RNAcentral.
CCCUUAGAUGUUCUGGGCUGCACGCGCGCUACACUGACACUAUCAACGAGUGCUCCUGGUUUGAAAGGAUCGGGUAAUCUUUUGAAAUGGUGUCGUGAUGGGGAUAGAUCAUUGCAAUUAUUGAUCUUGAACGAGGAAUUCCUAGUAAAUGUGAGUCAUCAGCUCACGUUGAUUACGUCCCUGCCCUUUGUACACACCGCCCGUCGCUCCUACCGAUUGAGUGAACCGAUGAGUAGUCCGGAUUGCGAUCGACCUCGGUUAAUCGCGAGAAGUUCCGCAAAGCACUUCACUUAGAGGAAGGAGAAGUCGUAACA